CGAUGGACAACCAGUUAAUAUUCUGGUACCUGCUUUGCGUUAAAAGUGACGGAGGCGAGAAUUAGGUGCGCACUGACGGAAUAGUGCGUUGAAGGAUGUGGUAACACUCCGAUAGUACACCAAAGCUACGGCGGCGGUGAUAAUCCUGAAUAUCGACUUCCAAGAAAAGCGAGCAAAAGCAGCCCGUACCGCAAACCGACACAGGUAGUUGGGAUGAGAAUUCUAAGGUGCUCGAGAGAUUCAUGGCUAAGGAAC
RNAcentral lists this ribosomal RNA (255 nucleotides) under Salinimicrobium oceani. RNAcentral's name for it is "Salinimicrobium sp. CDJ15-91 partial 23S ribosomal RNA". It matches the Rfam family "Bacterial large subunit ribosomal RNA", at positions 1416 to 1713 of the family's 2925-position model. The record is from RNAcentral. Lineage: Bacteria; Pseudomonadati; Bacteroidota; Flavobacteriia; Flavobacteriales; Flavobacteriaceae.